CCCAAAAUGGUCUUCUCUGUCUGGUCCUGGAUUAAGUUUGCCACAAGAAAAAUUUGUAUGUUUUGGAGAAGGGAAGUGAAACAGCAGCCAUGUUUUUAUAUUCUGAAAGUGGGUGUAGGUUGGCACUCUUGCGGCUCCUACACAUUCUCACUGACCUGCUGGCUCCCCUUGUGGGCAGGGAGCCGCAGCCACCCCGCAGCUCCUCCAGCUCCUGUUGGAAACCUUCCACCUUCUGCAGCUCCAGAGCCAGGACAGCACCAGCUUCUCCUGCAAGUCACUCACGUCCUCGUGUUUGGAGACAGUUAGAGACUGACAUGGGUUCCAGCUGGUCUUUCUCUUACCACGGGAGCAGAAUAGAAAGAGCAAAUGAAAAGCAUCCUUCAAACAAGCCAGGGAAGGAAGCCGAGUGGCAGGAGUUCAGAGGCCCUGAGUCAUCAUUUUCAGCUCCUGCGGACAGGCGCCUUCCUUUGAAGCAGAACGUUCCUCCUGAAUCAUUUGGUGACUUUCUGUGAAACUAUCUGCUGACACAGGUCUCUGUGGCUCAUUCAGGGAACAGGGGCCGGCCUAAUUUC
RNAcentral lists this long non-coding RNA (572 nucleotides) under Equus caballus (horse). RNAcentral describes it as "lncRNA (ENSECAG00000057442.1)". Lineage: Eukaryota; Metazoa; Chordata; Mammalia; Perissodactyla; Equidae. The record is from RNAcentral.